CAUGUCUUUUUGAUUUAAAUAUAAAGUCUAAUCUGCUCAAUGAUUAAUAAAUUGCCGCAGUAUUUUAACUGUGCAAAGGUAGCAUAAUAAUUAGCUUUUUAAUUAGAAGCUGGAAUGAAUGAUUGGACGAAAAUAUAACUGUCUCUUUCUAAAUUAUUAUUGAAUUUUAUUUUUAAGUUAAAAAGCUUAAAUUUUUAUAAAAGACGAGAAGACCCUAUAGAGUUUAAUAUUAAUAUGUUAUUAAUUUUUAGUAAUUUAUUUUAAUUUUUUAAUAUUUAGUUGGGGUGACUUAUAGAUUUAUUAAAUUCUAUAAAAUUUUAAUUGAUGAUAAUUAAUUUUAUAAUCUAAAAUUUUUAAAUUUAAAAUAAAUUACCUUAGGGAUAACAGCGUAAUUUUUCUUAAAAGUUCAUAUUGAAAGAAAAGUUUGCGACCUCGAUGUUGGAUUAAAAUAAAUUUUUGGUGCAGUAACUUAAAAAUUUGGUCUGUUCGACCUUUAAUAUUUUACAUGAUCUGAGUUUAAACCGGUGUAAGCCAGGUUGGAUUCUAUCUUUAGAUUUUUAAUAUAUUUUAGUACGAAAGGACCAAAUAUAUAUUAUAUUAAUUG
Molecule: ribosomal RNA, 604 nt
Filed under: Calopteron sp. UPOL A00640
Lineage: Eukaryota; Metazoa; Arthropoda; Insecta; Coleoptera; Lycidae
Description: partial 16S ribosomal RNA
Rfam family: Bacterial large subunit ribosomal RNA (bases 380-538)
Source: RNAcentral